This 382-nucleotide ribosomal RNA is filed under the name uncultured bacterium. Its description in RNAcentral is "bacterial SSU rRNA". It matches the Rfam family "Bacterial small subunit ribosomal RNA", at positions 30 to 424 of the family's 1533-position model. The record is from RNAcentral.
AUUGAACGCUGGCGGCAGGCCUAACACAUGCAAGUCGAACGGAACCUUCGGGUUUAGUGGCGAACGGGUGAGUAAUGCCUAGGAAUCUGCCUAUUAGUGGGGGAUAACGAAUCGAAAGGUUCGCUAAUACCGCAUACGUCCUACGGGAGAAAGAGGGGGAUCUUCGGACCUCUUGCUAAUAGAUGAGCCUAGGUCGGAUUAGCUAGUUGGUGAGGUAAAGGCUCACCAAGGCGACGAUCUGUAGCUGGUCUGAGAGGAUGGCCAGCCACACUGGAACUGAGACACGGUCCAGACUCCUACGGGAGGCAGCAGUGGGGAAUAUUGGACAAUGGGCGCAAGCCUGAUCCAGCCAUGCCGCGUGUGUGAAGAAGGCCCUCGGGUU